AGCAUCUCCUUGGGGUGCCCGCUCGGGCUGAGAGGUCUUCUCGAUCAACCCAUCGAACCUGAUCCGGAUUAUGCUGGCGGAGGGAUUGCGAGAUGGCGAGUA
This 102-nucleotide non-coding RNA is filed under the name Microvirga lotononidis. RNAcentral's name for it is "TPP sequence". It matches the Rfam family "TPP riboswitch aptamer (THI element)". Rfam says of the family: Vitamin B(1) in its active form thiamin pyrophosphate (TPP) is an essential coenzyme that is synthesised by coupling of pyrimidine and thiazole moieties in bacteria. The previously detected thiamin-regulatory element, thi box was extended, resulting in a new, highly conserved RNA secondary structure, the THI element, which is widely distributed in eubacteria and also occurs in some archaea. The record is from RNAcentral. Lineage: Bacteria; Pseudomonadati; Pseudomonadota; Alphaproteobacteria; Hyphomicrobiales; Methylobacteriaceae.